This 64-nucleotide transfer RNA is filed under the name Lauridromia dehaani. RNAcentral's name for it is "tRNA-Phe". Lineage: Eukaryota; Metazoa; Arthropoda; Malacostraca; Decapoda; Dromiidae. The record is from RNAcentral.
AUUUACAUAAUUAAAGUUUAGAAUAUUGCACUGAAGAUGCAAAAGUGGUUGAGGCCUGUAAAUA